CCCUCUCCAGUGUAUGUGGAUGCCCCAUACACAUGACAUUUUCCAACUCAAGAAACUCGGAAUCCCUCUCUGUCCUAUAGCAAGUGGGCGCAACAUUCCAUCCAGUAGUUAGGAAAAAUGGAAUCUAAAUUUCAAAACGCUGUGAGUGAUCUCAAACGACAAAGUUGUGUGGCGAUUGAAAUCAGAAAUGAAUCUUCCUUUAAACUAUCUAAACCUGAGACUUACUGUGCCAUGGGCUGUGUUGUUCAUCCACCACCUCUUCUCAUCGGGCCAAAAACUCAGGACUUCUGCAUCUUUUCUAAAAUAGCCUUCUCUCCAUAUGGAUCAGCAGGGCUUCUAAAAUAUGAAAUUGAUGGCGAACUCCUUUUUCUUAUGUUUGGAAGUCCACUUAUAAGCUUUUGGUUCAGUCAUGAGUUUGGGUUGUAUGUCACAGAGAACAGAACAGACGGUGAUGUGGCUAAUGAGAAAUUGUAUAAUAAUUUUUCUAUUAAGUCAAAUAAAGUUAAAAAGUGCUGGAACAGCUCAGAAUCAUUGGAGUUUGAAGGCUCACGAUUUAAGAUAAUUGCCACCAUGGCACCAGCUGCAACAUCAAUAGUAAAAUUGCUUAUUGAAGAUAAAUGAGGCAAAAUAUAAAUACCUAAAGACUUCAGUUGCCAUGUUUCCCAUUUGCUCCUGCA
Long non-coding RNA from Erpetoichthys calabaricus (reedfish), 677 nucleotides. RefSeq lists it as uncharacterized. The record is from RefSeq and is a predicted model, not a curated record. NCBI's taxonomy places the organism in Eukaryota, Metazoa, Chordata, Cladistia, Polypteriformes, Polypteridae. The transcript has 3 exons.